GUGCCUGAAUAGCACAGUUGAUUUCGUAUUCGCCUGCUGCCCAAAAGGUUGCUGGUUCAACUCCAGCCGGGAACA
Molecule: transfer RNA, 75 nt
Filed under: Sphaerodactylus townsendi
Lineage: Eukaryota; Metazoa; Chordata; Lepidosauria; Squamata; Sphaerodactylidae
Description: tRNA-Ser
Source: RNAcentral